RNAcentral lists this ribosomal RNA (253 nucleotides) under uncultured bacterium. RNAcentral describes it as "partial 16S ribosomal RNA". It matches the Rfam family "Bacterial small subunit ribosomal RNA", at positions 524 to 776 of the family's 1533-position model. The record is from RNAcentral.
UACGGAGGGCGCGAGCGUUAAUCGGAAUUACUGGGCGUAAAGCGCGCGUAGGCUGUUGUGUAAGUUGGGGGUGAAAUCCCACGGCUCAACCGUGGAACAGCCCUUGAUACUGCGCGACUUGAAUCCGGGAGAGGGUGGCGGAAUUCCAGGUGUAGGAGUGAAAUCCGUAGAUAUCUGGAGGAACAUCAGUGGCGAAGGCGGCCACCUGGACGGUGACUGACGCUGAGGCUCGAAAGCGUGGGGAGCAAACAGG